GGGUUUAGGGUUAGCAGGGUUUAGGGUAGGGUUAGGUAGGGUUUAGGGUUAGGUAGGGUUUAGGGUUAGGUAGGGUUUAGGGUUAUGUAGGGUUUAGGGUUAGUAGGGUUUAGGGCUAGAAAAAGGUUUUAGGGUAAGGUAGGGUUUAGGGUUAGUAGGAUUUAGGGUUAGGGUUAGGUAGGGUUUAGAAUUAGGUAGGGUUUAGUAUUAGCAUGGUUUAGGGUUAAAAAGGGUUUAGGGCUAGUAGGGUUUAGGGUUAGUAGGAUUUAAGGCUAGAAAGGGUUUAGGGUUAGGUAGGAUUUAGGGUUAGGCAGGGUUUAAGGUUAGGUGAGGUUUAGGGUUAGAAGGGGUUUAGGGUUAGGUAGGGUUUAGGGUUAGGUAGGUUUAGGGUUUGGUAGGGUUUAGGGUUCGGUAGAGUUUAGAGUUAGGUAGGGUUUAGGGUUAGAAAGGGUUUAGGGUUAGCAUGGUUUAGGGUUAGAAAGGGUUAAUAGGAUUUAAGGCUAGAAAGGGUUUAGGGUUAGGUAGGGUUUAGGGUUAGGUUUUAGGUUGUGUUUUAGGGUUAGGAAGAGUUUAGGGUUAGGUAGGGUUUAGGGUUAAAUAGGGUUUAGGGUUAGGUAGGGUUUACGUUUAGGGUUAGGUAGGUUUACAAUUAGAUAGGUUUAGGGUUUAGGUAGUAUGAAGGGUUUAUGUAGGGUUUAGGGUUAGAUAGGGUUAAGGUCUAGGUUUAUGUAAGGUUUAGGGUUAGGUAGGAUUUAGGGUUUUAGGCAGUAGAAAAGGUUUAGCGUUUGGUUUAUGUUGGAUUUAAGGUUUGACUUUGAAUAAUGCUUAGGAUUAUAGGGUUUAGGGUUUGUUUGUUUUUUUGUUUAUGCAUUUAGUGCUGAGUUUUUGGGAUAAAAUUUUAUAUUAAUAUUAUUGAUUUAUAGUUUUUCUUAAAAUGUUAAAAAUUUUAAAGUGAUU
This 957-nucleotide long non-coding RNA is filed under the name Brassica napus (rape). RNAcentral's name for it is "long non-coding RNA (BNAP_LNC022346)". Lineage: Eukaryota; Viridiplantae; Streptophyta; Magnoliopsida; Brassicales; Brassicaceae. The record is from RNAcentral.